ACGUGGGACAGUUUCAAGCCCGAAACCGGGUCGAAUCUUAUAGGCAGUAGGCCGAACCCGAAACAUAAUGGGUCGGGUAACACAAACCUUAACGAUCAAGCAAACGAUUUCGGAUCAUGGAACAGUUUCAAAUCAGGAAUCGGGUCGAACCUUUUGAGUCCGAAACCGAAUCCAAUUGGGUCGGGCUCAAACCAAAAGGAUCCAAUGAACGAAUACGGAUUAUGGAACAGUUUCAAGCCAAAAACCGCCGCCGAUUACAACGGAUUCAACGACGGGUGGAAAAUCAACAACGGAGGACCAACGAUACCGGUGAAAAACCAAAUCCCUAAGGAAAUCGGAAUUAACAACGGCGGGGGGAUUUACAGCAAGGGAUUGUCCUACAAAUUGGGAGUUCCGGCGAACAGUAACGGGAAUUUCAAUUGGAAGAACAACAGAGGAAACGGGGGGGAGGAGGCAGAGCAGGGCGGAGGGAAAGGGGG
Molecule: unclassified non-coding RNA, 479 nt
Filed under: Hevea brasiliensis (rubber tree)
Lineage: Eukaryota; Viridiplantae; Streptophyta; Magnoliopsida; Malpighiales; Euphorbiaceae
Source: RNAcentral